UCGCACUUUUAAACCAGGGUGAUCAGUAUGAGGCUCGAUCGAUCAACCAUUGCUCGUGUGCGAUAGUUUGUAGACCCGAUCAAUGUGAUGUGAGUCUCUAGCUAGCCUACAAUUGUUUGCAUGGUGCGAAAAGUCUGCAUGUGGAUGAAUUGUUGUGAUCGUGAGCCGUAGUAUGCUACCCCAGUACUUUAUAUGUGCGAGUGUGUAGUUGCAGGGAGCUCAUGCACGAUACGUAGAGUCUAGACCAGUCAGUUGUUAUAUGGAGCCCAUCGCGCAUAAUACGUAGAGUUGACCAAGCCAGAUGUUGCUUGCUCUUAGUAGGAGUUGUUGGGUAACCCCAAGUGUAAGGAUGAUGUAUCUAGCAAUAAAUAUUUUCUUUGAUUGAAAACCAAGAUUUCAAACAAGUAGAAAUUACCUACUUGAUUGAGAACCAAGAUCUCAAACAAGUAGAAAUUACCCAUGCAACAACUAAUGAUUAGAUACAAUGAUUCAAGAAAGUUGUCAAUCCUCUUGUCCUCUUGAUCACAAUAUUAUAUUUUAUAGUGUGAUUGGAAUUGAUAAAUGGAUAACAUAAAUAAAACGGUACACCAAUAAAGCAAAGUAAUGAUGGUUGUUUUUGGUAAAGGAAAAUAACUAUGGGGUCAUAGAUUCAUCAGAGGCAUCUCUCCAAGCAAGAUAAAUGUGGUGUGGUGAAGAAACUACAUUUGAGUAGCAAAUUAAUGACCAUGUUUAUUUUUGUGAUUGCGAUCAUCCAUGAGACACUGUUUUAUAGUAUUACGUCUGUGAAACAUAAGAAAAAAAAUCCAAAUUUAAAAACAAUAAAAAUUAUGAAAUGAUCA
Molecule: long non-coding RNA, 839 nt
Filed under: Hordeum vulgare
Lineage: Eukaryota; Viridiplantae; Streptophyta; Magnoliopsida; Poales; Poaceae
Description: long non-coding RNA (HVUL_LNC003169)
Source: RNAcentral